Thalictrum thalictroides is the source of this 147-nucleotide non-coding RNA. Lineage: Eukaryota; Viridiplantae; Streptophyta; Magnoliopsida; Ranunculales; Ranunculaceae. The record is from the annotation of a GenBank genome assembly.
AUUUUUGCGCUUGGGGCAAUGAUGCAGCUAGUGAGGUUAUACCGUGUCAAUUGCUGGUUGAAAACUAUUUCCAAACCCCCUCAGCCUGAGUUCUGCUUGGGCUGUUGAGAAUUUCUGGAAAGGGUCCCGCUAAACAAGGGUAAAUCC